ACGGGAGGCAGCAGUAGGGAAUCUUCCACAAUGGACGCAAGUCUGAUGGAGCAACGCCACGUGUGGGAAGAAGCAUUUCGGUGUGUAAACCACUGUCGUGAGGGAAUAAUGCUUGGUCUCGGCCAAGUUGAAUGUACCUCGAAAGGAAGCACCGGCAAACUUCGUGCCAGCAGCCGCGGUAAUACGAGGGGUGCAAGCGUUGUUCGGAAUCACUGGGCGUAAAGGGAGCGUAGGCGGAGACGCAAGCAGUCUGUACAAUACCGGGGCCCAACCCCGGACCUGCAGACUGGACUGUGUCUCUUGGAUAGUUCAGGGGCAGGCGGAAUUCCUGGUGUAGCGGUGGAAUGCGUAGAGAUCAGGAAGAACACCGAUGGCGAAGGCAGCCUGCUGGGGACUCAUCGACGCCGAGGCUCGAAAGUGCGGGUAGCAAACAGGAUUAGAUACCCUGGUA
RNAcentral lists this ribosomal RNA (451 nucleotides) under uncultured Fibrobacter sp. RNAcentral describes it as "bacterial SSU rRNA". It matches the Rfam family "Bacterial small subunit ribosomal RNA", at positions 341 to 792 of the family's 1533-position model. The record is from RNAcentral. Lineage: Bacteria; Pseudomonadati; Fibrobacterota; Fibrobacteria; Fibrobacterales; Fibrobacteraceae.